GGAUGAACGCUGGCGGCGUGCCUAAUACAUGCAAGUCGAGCGAACGGACGAGAAGCUUGCUUCUCUGAUGUUAGCGGCGGACGGGUGAGUAACACGUGGAUAACCUACCUAUAAGACUGGGAUAACUUCGGGAAACCGGAGCUAAUACCGGAUAAUAUUUUGAACCGCAUGGUUCAAAAGUGAAAGACGGUCUUGCUGUCACUUAUAGAUGGAUCCGCGCUGCAUUAGCUAGUUGGUAAGGUAACGGCUUACCAAGGCAACGAUGCAUAGCCGACCUGAGAGGGUGAUCGGCCACACUGGAACUGAGACACGGUCCAGACUCCUACGGGAGGCAGCAGUAGGGAAUCUUCCGCAAUGGGCGAAAGCCUGACGGAGCAACGCCGCGUGAGUGACGAAGGUCUUCGGAUCGUAAAACUCUGUUAUUAGGGAAGAACAUAUGUGUAAGUAACUGUGCACAUCUUGACGGUACCUAAUCAGAAAGCCACGGCUAACUACGUG
RNAcentral lists this ribosomal RNA (498 nucleotides) under uncultured bacterium. RNAcentral describes it as "partial 16S ribosomal RNA". It matches the Rfam family "Bacterial small subunit ribosomal RNA", at positions 27 to 507 of the family's 1533-position model. The record is from RNAcentral.